RNAcentral lists this ribosomal RNA (496 nucleotides) under uncultured bacterium. RNAcentral's name for it is "partial 16S ribosomal RNA". It matches the Rfam family "Bacterial small subunit ribosomal RNA", at positions 29 to 507 of the family's 1533-position model. The record is from RNAcentral.
AUGCACGCUGGCGGCGUGCCUAAUACAUGCAAGUCGAGCGAACAGACGAGGAGCUUGCUCCUCUGACGUUAGCGGCGGACGGGUGAGUAACACGUGGAUAACCUACCUAUAAGACUGGGAUAACUUCGGGAAACCGGAGCUAAUACCGGAUAAUAUAUUGAACCGCACGGUUCAAUAGUGAAAGACGGUUUUGCUGUCACUUAUAGAUGGAUCCGCGCCGCAUUAGCUAGUUGGUAAGGUAACGGCUUACCAAGGCAACGAUGCGUAGCCGACCUGAGAGGGUGAUCGGCCACACUGGAACUGAGACACGGUCCAGACUCCUACGGGAGGCAGCAGUAGGGAAUCUUCCGCAAUGGGCGAAAGCUUGACGGAGCAACGCCGCGUGAGUGAUGAAGGUCUUCGGAUCGUAAAACUCUGUUAUUAGGGAAGAACAAAUGUGUAAGUAACUAUGCACGUCUUGACGGUUCCUAAUCAGAAAGCCACGGCUAACUACGUG